UGGUAGUAUCGAACAAAAUGUAGAAAUCGGUGGUGGUGGCCGUCGAUAGGCUCUUCCAUAACAAGCUCUACAAUCGAUACUUCAAACGCACAUCCAUAUUCAUGGCACACGACGAAACAAAUCAGUGCAAUAUCGGCGAUCGACACGCUUGAGGCGCGAGGUGCACUAAGGCCAGGCCUCAGCGUAAGUUUAUGAGAACGAAGGGGGUAUUAUAAGAUCACAAGAUCUCAAGGUAUAUGACAAGAUGUGGCUAACAAGGAUGAGGAGAAUGAAGACAUGGAUGCUAUGACAAGUUACAUUUUAUUUAGCAAAAUGAAUUACUUCUUUUGGUGCCUGAGUGCCCCUUCUCUUCAGUCCUCUCUGCUUCUCGUUGCCGCCCUUUCUUUGCUAGACCGUCACUAGCACAUUAUUUGGUAGUCGCUGCCCCCACCGGUGUGUAGUUGAUUACUUGAAGAAGGCGGUUGGGUGCCUGCAGUUCUGGCAUCGUAGAACGCUUAAAACUAAAGCGGAAGGAAGGUAGCAUGGAGAGGCCCACUUAGAAGAAUUUCCAAGUUUGAUCAGGGGCCCCGAGGUCGUUGACAAAAAUAAAGAGAUUUCUUCUCGCAACAAAUUCCUUGGCUUGCUGAAUAGAGAUGAUGUUUUCUUUAGUUGAGCGAGAUACCAAGGGUUGUCAUUGAUUAACCAAAGUCGACUUAAUUGAAACUGAUUGGUUAUCAUUGAUAAAUAUGAUGACACUGCAACGUAAAUUGAACAUAUGAAGAACUACAAAUCUUUAGAAGAAGAUGAAGUGAUUUGGUUGAUCCUUUUAUCCUUGUAAUGAACAAGGAGCAUGAUGGCUACAUUUGACUUUAUGGAAGAGGUGUUACUUUAAAAAUGAUGAACAAAAUGGGAGAUGGUGAGGAACCAUACAUGAUACAU
Molecule: long non-coding RNA, 918 nt
Filed under: Helianthus annuus (common sunflower)
Lineage: Eukaryota; Viridiplantae; Streptophyta; Magnoliopsida; Asterales; Asteraceae
Description: hypothetical non coding rna
Source: RNAcentral